Molecule: small nucleolar RNA, 80 nt
Organism: Cynoglossus semilaevis (tongue sole)
Lineage: Eukaryota; Metazoa; Chordata; Actinopteri; Pleuronectiformes; Cynoglossidae
Product: small nucleolar RNA SNORD60
Exons: 1
Source: RefSeq, a predicted model, not a curated record
AACCACUGAUGACAAACCUUACAGUUUCUGACACCUCGUAUGAGAGCUCAGCUCCUGAUUCUAACUCUGCUCUGAGGUCG